AAGAAGAAGAAGAAACUA
RNAcentral lists this small nuclear RNA (18 nucleotides) under Arabidopsis thaliana (thale cress). RNAcentral describes it as "snRNA_04049". Lineage: Eukaryota; Viridiplantae; Streptophyta; Magnoliopsida; Brassicales; Brassicaceae. The record is from RNAcentral.